Molecule: ribosomal RNA, 497 nt
Filed under: uncultured bacterium
Lineage: Bacteria
Description: partial 16S ribosomal RNA
Rfam family: Bacterial small subunit ribosomal RNA
Source: RNAcentral
GAUGAACGCUGGCGGCGUGCCUAAUACAUGCAAGUCGAGCGAACAGACGAGGAGCUUGCUCCUUUGACGUUAGCGGCGGACGGGUGAGUAACACGUAGGUAACCUACCUAUAAGACUGGGAUAACUUCGGGAAACCGGAGCUAAUACCGGAUAAUAUUUCGAACCGCAUGGUUCGAUAGUGAAAGAUGGCUUUGCUAUCACUUAUAGACGGACCUGCGCCGUAUUAGCUAGUUGGUAAGGUAACGGCUUACCAAGGCAACGAUACGUAGCCGACCUGAGAGGGUGAUCGGCCACACUGGAACUGAGACACGGUCCAGACUCCUACGGGAGGCAGCAGUAGGGAAUCUUCCGCAAUGGGCGAAAGCCUGACGGAGCAACGCCGCGUGAGUGAUGAAGGUCUUCGGAUCGUAAAACUCUGUUAUUAGGGAAGAACAAACGUGUAAGUAACUGUGCACGUCUUGACGGUACCUAAUCAGAAAGCCACGGCUAACUACGUG